Molecule: transfer RNA, 74 nt
Filed under: Rattus norvegicus (Norway rat)
Lineage: Eukaryota; Metazoa; Chordata; Mammalia; Rodentia; Muridae
Rfam family: tRNA
About the family: Transfer RNA (tRNA) molecules are approximately 80 nucleotides in length. Their secondary structure includes four short double-helical elements and three loops (D, anti-codon, and T loops).
Source: Rfam by way of RNAcentral
GGAAAGGUGGCUCAGUGGUUAAGAGCACUGGCUGUUUCUACCAGAGGACCUGAGUUCAAAUCCCAGCACCCCCA